Quercus robur (English oak) is the source of this 813-nucleotide long non-coding RNA. RefSeq lists it as uncharacterized. Lineage: Eukaryota; Viridiplantae; Streptophyta; Magnoliopsida; Fagales; Fagaceae. The transcript is spliced from 2 exons. The record is from RefSeq and is a predicted model, not a curated record.
GUGCAUGACCACACCAUGGAGGAAGCAAGUCAGACAACAGAUGAGAUGUGGGACGACACUGCUUAUGACGUAGGCUCCAUGGCACACGAUGAUGCGGGUCCAUCCCAUACGUUUACCCAUAGAGACACAUUUGGGUCCCCAUCCAUGAGGAGCGAUGGUACUUGCCCACCCACAUCUCCUAAUACAUCUCCGUUGCCCACCACCCGUACGUCUCCCCCACUGACUGCCGGCCCUGCCCCCGCAGUUUUAGAUGGUAGAGAUGAGAUGAGGUUCAUGCCCAUUCCUGGGCGACCCACCCCUGUUGCUGUCCCCCCUGAGUUUGUGCAUACCGAGUUUAUCCAGACACAGAUACCCACCCCCCAGUAGAGCCUUCGCACAUCGAGGAUCGGCCACGAAGGCCGUAACGCACACGGACACAUCCUCCUGACUGUGGGACUGGACAUGGCAAGGUGAGACCAAUCAAGGAAUCGGUGAGGAGAAGAAAACGAGAAUGAUUCAAGGGCAGAAUUUGUGCUACUUUGGGUUUGUAAUGGUAUAGGAUCUUUUUGUCAUGUAUAGGAUCUUCUUGUAUAUAUUUUAUAUGAUGAGCCACUAUUAUGCAAUCCACAUGGAUUACAAGAUAUAGACUGGAAUGUUAUAGGCAUUCUUAUAUAGAUGAUUUCAUGGUUGUGGUUGAUAAGCAUUGUGCAUGCUUUAGUAAGCAUUGUGGCAACAAUCAGUUGUUAUGGGAUGUUUCUAUUAAUGGGUAUUUGCUAAUUGUAGAGAUGAAUGUGGGAUGUUUAGAAAUGCAAUACAAGGAAACUUUUUGUUGAA